GAUAAAACGAUCCACUAGAAUUUAAUUAGCUCCCUUCCUUUCCCCAAAUACUUGAAAUCCCCGUAGGCCCAAAACAAAAUAAUUAAAGACCCCAAGUCUUUAUUUAAAAAAAGAAAUUAAAAAAAAAAAAAUUUUAUAUUCCUAUUUCAAAACAACACGUACACCCUCCCACUUCACUUUAUUUACACCUAAAAACUCCCAUUCCCAGAUUUAUUUACACCUACAGUUUCCUUUCUCCUCCGUCGCAUUUCUUCAAGAACACCCAAAUUGAACUCAAUCAUACAGAAAUUUAUCGGCCCUCUCAAAAAUCAAAACACAAAAAUUGAUCAAAAAUCAAAACACAAAAACUGAACAGAAAUUAGAGCUCCCUCCCUCAAGCUCUUGUCGGCCCCAUUCUCUCACAAAACAUCGAAAAUGAGAUUCCCAAAAUUGAAUCAUGUCUCGCUAUGAAAUCUCUAAUCCCGUCGGCGUCAUACCUCCUCGGUUUUUCUCUCUCCGUCACGCAGCACCUCGGCUCCAAUUCAUCGCCCGCACACACCGCCGUAGUCCCUGAAACUAGCCCCGAAACGACACCACGCAGCCACAAAACCAACCCGAACACCCAAGAUUACGGAGGAGGAAAAUCUCAUUACGGAGGAGGAAAAUCUCUACAGAAACUUUAAUUAAAACCUGAAUUAAUGCAGCUUAGUGACCAAGUCAACAUGUCGAAAUUAAUUAGAUUAGUUUAAUUCAAGGUCCUUUGUAAUUUAUUUAAAUUAUGCACUCCACAAUUUUUUUGUCACGGACUGAAUUUUUAUAUUAUUUAUUCAAUUUAUUCGAUCCAA
Long non-coding RNA from Salvia splendens (bonfire salvia), 824 nucleotides. RefSeq lists it as uncharacterized. The record is from RefSeq and is a predicted model, not a curated record. The transcript has 2 exons. Lineage: Eukaryota; Viridiplantae; Streptophyta; Magnoliopsida; Lamiales; Lamiaceae.